GGGGUUGCCUCGUCUUUUUGCAUUCUCGACAAUACCAAACGUCGUUUUAGAGGCGACGCUCCGCAAAUUGGUAAAACGGCGCGUUUCAGUCGCUCCGUAUCGACAAUUGCAUCCCUCUGAUCUUUCAAGGAGCCAAAAGUUUGAGAGCUCGAGGAAAUCUAUCUAAACACAGAGAGAGCUAUGAGCAUUCGACCGUUAGAUAAGCUCCCGCCAACGGAAACUCUAGAAAUCGAGAACGGUCUCUCUCUAGUACCGCGCGUCAAGCUCAUCCUCACGGUUUACCCUUCAAUCUCCUCCUCCGCCACUAAACCAAUCGACGAGUGGAAGCUAAAGCGUGCUCUCAUAGACUUCCUGAAGAUCUCCCUCUCCGUCUCCAACACAGUCCCCGAAGAGGACCUCGAAAUCAGACGGUAUAAAGACCUCAAGAAACGUAAACGCGAUGAUCCGGUCGCGCACGGCACUCUCUGCAUUCGAGACCUAGGGUUUCUCAAUAUCGAGAAAGAUGAGGAUGAGGAUUUGAAGGUUUUGGAGAAGAAGUUCCUGGAUUGGAGAAAGUACAUUGUUGAAAAAAUGGACGGAAUCGAGCUUAACCUCGAAGGAUUUAGAUACAAGCUCGGUGUUGCUGUGCCAGAGUCCGAUGACUUUGAGGGGAUGAAGAAAGCUUGGGAGGAGUUUUACGCUUUUGGAAAUCGAGGUUUGUGAAUUUUAUUUGCUUUUCAAUUCUUAUUUUUUUAUAAUUUUCAAGCGAUUCUUCUGUGUUGGUUUGGCAGGGUACUCCAGAGGGGGGAGGCAAGAGCCAGACACUAUUAUAGUGCGAGGGGUUCCGUCCCGUUGGUUUGCAGAGCCGAGGGUGUCUUCGAAGCCUUCAUUGUUAGUUACUCAUACCAUUUUCUCCACAUUUGGGAAGAUAAGGUAAUUUCCAUUGUCAAUUAUCUUCUUUUAUGAGGAUUUGCGCCAAGCUUAAUCUUGUUUCUGGCAUGUUUGAUUUGUCUUGGUGUGUAUAGUUGACGAGGCAAUUGUGUCGGUUUUAGUGAAUUACCUUUCAAACAUAGCACUGCUAGCAGUGCUGAAUUUACUUUGUGAAGUUUUGCAGCAAAUGGGGCAAUGGUUAUACUAAUCUUUAUAAUUUGCAAUAAAUAAUACAAGAGUUGGGUGUUAGUAGUCCAAUUUGGAAAAGCCCAGAUGAAUAUAGUUCUGAAUUCCCCAUAUGCAUGUGAUCAAGUUGCCUGUAGUACUUGUCCAAUUGGUGUUAAACAUCUUAUGAUAAGAACUGGCUUCGACUAUUCAAAUUUCCACAAGGUUUUCUUUUUCAGAUUGUAAAGCUACAUGUAACCAUUGCCCAUAUGCUAUUAACUAUGUUUGCUUUAUUAGCUCUAGAUCUAUAAUGUAAUGACAAAAACCUGAUUGUAUAUCAUCCAUGUUAUUACUUCUACUUGCUCAAUAGAAAUCUUAACGUCGCUGAGGAUGAUGAUCGUGGUAAGGAUGCAGACGAGGAUGGAGGGGAUAUAAUUUCAGGUCUCCUCUGCAAGAUUGUGGUUCAGUUUGAGAAACAUGGGGACUUCUAUAAUGCUCUUAAAGUCUUAUGUGGACGCUCAUUGCAGAAGCAAGGGUCUCGAUUGAAGGCUGAUUAUGAUGUAACCUGGACCAAGGAUAGCUUCUUCCAAAAGUCAAGUAGUCAAGCAAAAGAAAAGAGUGAUAGGAUGCCAGCAGUGGGAGGAGGGCACUACAGAAAUGAAGGUCCUAGACAUGAAAGAUACAUUUCUCAGUUCACUUCUGAUGAUUCACGACGGAAGAGAUUCAAGGAAUAGGGAUUGUGAAACAUGGUGACAAUUUUUCUCCAGUUUGGACUUUUCACAAGAAGCCAAUUCUUGCUGCUUCAACUACCAAAUAUGUGAUGUUCUUCUACCUUCUCGAAUUUUCUUUGUAUCAAUAGCCUUGUAGAAAAUGACGCUAAAUUGAGCUCAUUAUGGUGUAGGAGCUGUACUAUAGUUCACAAUUUCACAAUUUGACGUUAUUGGAUUUUACAGUGACAUGGCUUUCUAAUAGCAUAGCAAGUCGUAGUAUUGCCCAAUUAGUUGAAAGAUUAUGGAGUUGGAUGUAGUUAUAAUAAGUUUGACUUUAUAUAAGAAUAAGCCUAAUAGUUCUUAGAUUAAAUAUUUAUAUGGGAUUACUGCAUUCAUUAUUUCAAUUGUACGAAUGCUUUAAUUGACUCUGUGCGAAUUUAAAUAUAAAUAUUUGAUUUAAAAAUUAU
This 2251-nucleotide unclassified non-coding RNA is filed under the name Hevea brasiliensis (rubber tree). Lineage: Eukaryota; Viridiplantae; Streptophyta; Magnoliopsida; Malpighiales; Euphorbiaceae. The record is from RNAcentral.